AUACGGAGGGUGCAAGCGUUACUCGGAAUCACUGGGCGUAAAGCGCGCGCAGGCGGCUUGAUAAGUUGGAUGUGAAAGCCUACGGCUCAACCGUAGAACUGCAUCCAAAACUGUCAAGCUAGAGUCUGGGAGGGGAAGAUGGAAUUAGUUGUGUAGGGGUAAAAUCCGUAGAGAUAACUAGGAAUACCAAAAGCGAAGGCGAUCUUCUGGAACAGUUCUGACGCUGAGGCGCGAAAGCGUGGGGAGCAAACAGGAUUAGAAACCCCAGUAGUCC
This 274-nucleotide ribosomal RNA is filed under the name uncultured bacterium. RNAcentral's name for it is "partial 16S ribosomal RNA". It matches the Rfam family "Bacterial small subunit ribosomal RNA", at positions 523 to 796 of the family's 1533-position model. The record is from RNAcentral.